RNAcentral lists this transfer RNA (72 nucleotides) under Bos taurus (domestic cattle). It matches the Rfam family "tRNA". Rfam says of the family: Transfer RNA (tRNA) molecules are approximately 80 nucleotides in length. Their secondary structure includes four short double-helical elements and three loops (D, anti-codon, and T loops). Further hydrogen bonds mediate the characteristic L-shaped molecular structure. tRNAs have two regions of fundamental functional importance: the anti-codon, which is responsible for specific mRNA codon recognition, and the 3' end, to which the tRNAs corresponding amino acid is attached (by aminoacyl-tRNA synthetases). tRNAs cope with the degeneracy of the genetic code in two manners: having more than one tRNA (with a specific anti-codon) for a particular amino acid; and 'wobble' base-pairing, i.e. permitting non-standard base-pairing at the 3rd anti-codon position. RNAcentral also lists the same sequence under 2 other names. Lineage: Eukaryota; Metazoa; Chordata; Mammalia; Artiodactyla; Bovidae. The record is from Rfam by way of RNAcentral.
UCCCUGGUGGCUCAGACGGUAAAGCGUCUGCCUGCAAUGAGGGAGACCCAGGUUCAAUUCCUGGGUUGGGAA